Molecule: long non-coding RNA, 1055 nt
Filed under: Gallus gallus (chicken)
Lineage: Eukaryota; Metazoa; Chordata; Aves; Galliformes; Phasianidae
Source: RNAcentral
GGGAAAAACACAGUGUGGGAAAUUCUGUGCUAAAAACACUGGUGGUGAAGGCUAGAGCUUGGCAGGCAAGCCUGUAAAACAUUGGAUCCCCGUGGGUUCCAGUUGGCUUCUACCUUCUGGCAUUGGCUGGAGCUACAGCUGGGGCAAGUGUGCUGCUGCAGCCAACGGUUUCCUCUUCUGAACAGUUCAACCUGCAUUUGACACGAAUGUUUAUGAACCGUGCAGUUGAUCACAAAACGGUUAAUUGCUGUGAUUUUAAAUAUGUGUUAGGAGAAAUAAUGUGGAAGGAUGUAUAAAGUGACAGCAGGAUGAAAAAAAUAAAUUGAAAGCUGUUGCACACACAAGUGAGAACAUAGCGGUUCAAGUUUGUUGUGAACAAAGACGUUUCUCUGUCGGGGUUGCACUCAACAUUUGUAAGUUUCUCUGUUUAAUUGUUCAUAAACAAGUUUCACUGGAAACGAUGCAAGUCCCGAUGGUUUAGCGUCACUGCUCGUACUGAAUUUCAUCCUAAGAAGAAUAUCUGCCCCUCCAAAAUGAGCAGCGCUUCUAUGUUAGUGCCCUUUGCAUGUACCUUCCUUACAGAUUCUCUUUUUCAGUUGCUCUCAUCAGAUUUGGAAAAGAAAGAUGGCAAUUAACCUCACUCCCCUGAAAAUUAUGAGCUUCCUUCUCCCUGUUCCACCCUGAGUCUCAAAACAGGAUGCAUCUUGCUGCAUUGAAGUGACUGCCGUGGUACUGCUCGUUACUCAUCCCUUUGUAAAUGAUGUAAUUGUUUUGGGUGUUUUGCCAUAAAGUGCUGUUAACUCUGUCAACUUUGUUUGUAUAAGUGAAUGCAGAUACACCGAUCACUGUGCGUGACAGAUUCAGCUGCUCCGCUUUGCCUUGACAUGCAGUGUUGGAACCAAAGGUACUUGGAGCUGGGGGCGGGUGUGUUCUGGGACAGCAGGCUGGAGGCUGUGUGCUGCUCUGAUACAAUCACACAGCGUAAGGAUACAUCCGGGUACUGUAUCGUUUGGAAAUAACGCAGCCAUACGAAAUAAAUGGUUAUUUUGCAAAAA